RNAcentral lists this ribosomal RNA (471 nucleotides) under uncultured bacterium. Its description in RNAcentral is "partial 16S ribosomal RNA". It matches the Rfam family "Bacterial small subunit ribosomal RNA", at positions 28 to 507 of the family's 1533-position model. The record is from RNAcentral.
GACGAACGCUGGCGGCGUGCUUAACACAUGCAAGUCGAACGAUGAAGCGGUGCUUGCACCGUGGAUUAGUGGCGAACGGGUGAGUAAUACGUGAGUGACCUACCUUUGACUCUGGGAUAAGCCUGGGAAACUGGGUCUAAUACCGGAUACGACCAAUCUCUGCAUGGGGUGUUGGUGGAAAGCGUUAUGGAGUGGUUUUAGAUGGGCUCACGGCCUAUCAGCUUGUUGGUGAGGUAAUGGCUUACCAAGGCGACGACGGGUAGCCGGCCUGAGAGGGUGACCGGCCACACUGGGACUGAGACACGGCCCAGACUCCUACGGGAGGCAGCAGUGGGGAAUAUUGCACAAUGGGCGCAAGCCUGAUGCAGCGACGCCGCGUGAGGGAUGACGGCCUUCGGGUUGUAAACCGCUUUCGCCUGUGACGAAGCGUGAGUGACGGUAAUGGGUAAAGAAGCACCGGCUAACUACGUG